Molecule: ribosomal RNA, 1022 nt
Filed under: Digitodesmium sp. BWF-2021a
Lineage: Eukaryota; Fungi; Ascomycota; Dothideomycetes; Pleosporales
Description: SSU rRNA
Rfam family: Eukaryotic small subunit ribosomal RNA
Source: RNAcentral
UAGCAUUAUACCGUGAAACUGCGAAUGGCUCAUUAAAUCAGUUAUCGUUUAUUUGAUAGUACCUUACUACUUGGAUACCCGUGGUAAUUCUAGAGCUAAUACAUGCUAAAAACCCCGACUUCGGGAGGGGUGUGUUUAUUAGAUAAAAAACCAACGCCCUUCGGGGCUCCUUGGUGAUUCAUGAUAACCUCUCAGAUCGCACGGCCUUGCGCCGGCGACGGUUCAUUCAAAUUUCUGCCCUAUCAACUUUCGAUGGUAAGGUAUUGGCUUACCAUGGUUUCAACGGGUAACGGGGAAUUAGGGUUCGAUUCCGGAGAGUGAGCCUGAGAAACGGCUCACACAUCCAAGGAAGGCAGCAGGCGCGCAAAUUACCCAAUCCCGACACGGGGAGGUAGUGACAAUAAAUACUGAUACAGGGCUCUUUUGGGUCUUGUAAUUGGAAUGAGUACAAUUUAAACCUCUUAACGAGGAACAAUUGGAGGGCAAGUCUGGUGCCAGCAGCCGCGGUAAUUCCAGCUCCAAUAGCGUAUAUUAAAGUUGUUGCAGUUAAAAAGCUCGUAGUUGAAUCUUUGGCCUGGCUGGCGGGUCCGCCUCACCGCGUGCACUUGUCCGGCCGGGCCUUCUCUUCUGGAGAACCGCAUGCCCUUCACUGGGCGUGUUGGGGACCAGGACUUUUACUUUGAAAAAAUUAGAGUGUUCAAAGCAGGCCUUUGCUCGAAUACGUUAGCAUGGAAUAAUAGAAUAGGACGUGCGGUCCUAUUUUGUUGGUUUCUAGGACCGCCGUAAUGAUUAAUAGGGACAGUCGGGGGCAUCAGUAUUCAAUUGUCAGAGGUGAAAUUCUUGGAUUUAUUGAAGACUAACUACUGCGAAAGCAUUUGCCAAGGAUGUUUUCAUUAAUCAGUGAACGAAAGUUAGGGGAUCGAAGACGAUCAGAUACCGUCGUAGUCUUAACCAUAAACUAUGCCGACUAGGGAUCGGGCGGUGUUAUCGAUUUGACCCGCUCGGCACCUUGCGAGAAAUCA